This 253-nucleotide ribosomal RNA is filed under the name uncultured bacterium. Its description in RNAcentral is "partial 16S ribosomal RNA". It matches the Rfam family "Bacterial small subunit ribosomal RNA", at positions 524 to 776 of the family's 1533-position model. The record is from RNAcentral.
UACGAAGGGGGCUAGCGUUGCUCGGAAUCACUGGGCGUAAAGCGCACGUAGGCGGCUUCUCAAGUCAGGGGUGAAAUCCUGGAGCUCAACUCCAGAACUGCCUUUGAUACUGAGGAGCUCGAGUCCGGGAGAGGUGAGUGGAACUGCGAGUGUAGAGGUGAAAUUCGUAGAUAUUCGCAAGAACACCAGUGGCGAAGGCGGCUCACUGGCCCGGUACUGACGCUGAGGUGCGAAAGCGUGGGGAGCAAACAGG